UAGGGAAUAUUGCAAAAUGGGCGAAAGCCCGAUGCAGCAACGCCGCGUGGGCGAUGAAGGCCUUCGGGUCGUAAGGCCCUUUUUGAGGGGAUGAGGAAGGACAGUACCCUCAGAAUAAGCCUCGGCUAACUACGUGCCAGCAGCCGCGGUAAAACGUAGGAGGCGAGCGUUAUCCGGAUUUACUGGGCGUAAAGCGCGUGCAGGCGGAUUGGAGAGUUGGAUGUGAAAGCUCCCGGCUUAACUGGGAGAGGUCGUUCAAUACUUCCAGUCUUGAGUGCAGUAGAGGGAAGUGGAAUUCCGGGUGUAGUGGUGAAAUGCGUAGAUAUCCGGAGGAACACCAGUGGCGAAAGCGGCUUCCUGGACUGUAACUGACGCUCAGACGCGAAAGCUAGGGUAGCAAACG
This 403-nucleotide ribosomal RNA is filed under the name uncultured bacterium. Its description in RNAcentral is "bacterial SSU rRNA". It matches the Rfam family "Bacterial small subunit ribosomal RNA", at positions 355 to 774 of the family's 1533-position model. The record is from RNAcentral.